CAGCCGCCGCGGUAAUACAGAGGGUGCGAGCGUUAAUCGGAUUUACUGGGCGUAAAGCGUGCGUAGGCGGCUUUUUAAGUCGGAUGUGAAAUCCCUGAGCUUAACUUAGGAAUUGCAUUCGAUACUGGUAAGCUAGAGUAUGGGAGAGGAUGGUAGAAUUCCAGGUGUAGCGGUGAAAUGCGUAGAGAUCUGGAGGAAUACCGAUGGCGAAGGCAGCCAUCUGGCCUAACACUGACGCUGAGGUACGAAAGCAUGGGGAGCAAACAGGAUUAGAUACCCCGGUAGUCCCUGUCUCUUAUAC
This 301-nucleotide ribosomal RNA is filed under the name uncultured bacterium. RNAcentral's name for it is "partial 16S ribosomal RNA". It matches the Rfam family "Bacterial small subunit ribosomal RNA", at positions 509 to 807 of the family's 1533-position model. The record is from RNAcentral.